CAGACUUAGCCGAAGCUCUUCCUGGACCCCACAAUACCAAAAAUAUCCCCCAAAGAUUCACAAAGCCAACUUCCCCUGUUCUUCCUCCAUUGCCAACAACCUCCUCUUCCACUUGUAGAAUCUUACACGCAGAGGCUUUCUCUUUCUGAGUCUCUUCUCUCUUUUACUAUAUUACUCAAACACUUCUCCACAAUUUUCUUGAUUGUUUUUCCUUCAUAAUCAUCAUAACGUUAUAUUUAUUAAAACAGAGUCAGGGGGUGAUCUAUUUUCCUUCAACCAUGGACUCCCUCGCGUCAGUUUCUCCUUCCAUGGUUCUCCCUUCCAGUAAUCCCCUCCAUCUACGACGCCUUCUUAUCCCUAAUUCAUCUUCUUUCUCCUCUCAUAACCACCGUCUUCUUCCCCGCCUCUCUACUGCGGUUCCUUUGUCGAAGUAUUAUGUUCCUUCGAGGAGGAGAAGGUGGAGACAAGUUUCUUGUAAAUUUACUGAUGGUGGGCCUAAGCAUCCCGAAGAAGCGGAAGAAGAUGAUGGACGAGAGGAUGUGGAGAGAGCGCUUCAUUUGGAUGGCACCAUUCCUGGGUCUUCGAAUGAGUUCGUCAAGCAGGUUUCUUCCCGUGCUUAUGAUAUGCGAAGACAUCUUCAACAAUCAUUUGAUAGCAGCAGCUAUGAUGUAUUGGAGGCCAACCCAUGGAGAGAAUCCUCAAAGCCUGUAUAUGUACUAACCCACAGAGAAAACCAGUUGUGCACAAUGAAAACCCGGAGAAAUCGCAGCGAAGUUGAGAGGGAGCUUGGGCUACUAUUUUCCAAAGGAGGAAAAUGGAGGUCUGAAAGGGGAAAUCAGGCUAAACAGUCCAGAACAGGGACAAAGUUCCAAAUGCUUGUGGAGGAUAUUCGGGAAGGCGUGCUUAGUCGUGCUUCAAACAGCCAUGGCAUAACAGCAACUAAAGGAAAUGGUCUCUGCUGCCGAUGAAGCUUCCACAACAACGAGGAUUGAGGCUGAACAUUAUCCCCUAAAUUCUUCUUCUCACUUUAGUAGAUAGCUUAUCUGUAUUUGCCAUCGAGAAAUGAUGUUUCUCUAUGGAGACUGGACAAACCAGUUUAGUUUGAUGAACCUUUCUAGUUCUUGUUCUUAAGAAUUCCAAGCACUUCAGUGGUAGUCGAACUCAUCAUAGCCUCUAAAACACAAUAAAUAGUAACUAGAGCCUGCGACUGUGCUGCUGGAAUAUCCAACCAUUGUCGGAGAACCCAGGGAUAGUCUAAAGGCAAAGUUGCAUUAUAGGCAGCUUUGCUACUGAAAUGAAGAGUUAGUGGACCUUGAGGUUGCCAGUUAUCAUACCAAAAAUGGUGCUGCAAUCUCCAAUGUUAUGGUGGAUAAAUAAGUGUGAUUGGCUUCUAAGAUUUUGAUGAACAACUAGCAUAUCGUGGAGUUGUCUCGCUGAUUUCCACAAUGUAUUUGAAGAUGAGAAUGAAGCUGUAAGAUAUUGUGAUUUACUGCAGGGAGGAGGAAAAGGUUGUGAAGGUGUUGCAGAAAUUGAAGCCUCAUCA
RNA transcript from Manihot esculenta (cassava), 1543 nucleotides. RefSeq lists it as uncharacterized. The record is from RefSeq and is a predicted model, not a curated record. The transcript is spliced from 5 exons. NCBI's taxonomy places the organism in Eukaryota, Viridiplantae, Streptophyta, Magnoliopsida, Malpighiales, Euphorbiaceae.